This 253-nucleotide ribosomal RNA is filed under the name uncultured bacterium. Its description in RNAcentral is "partial 16S ribosomal RNA". It matches the Rfam family "Bacterial small subunit ribosomal RNA", at positions 524 to 776 of the family's 1533-position model. The record is from RNAcentral.
UACGAGAGGUCCAAACGUUAUUCGGAAUUACUGGGCUUACAGAGUUCGUAGGCGGCUCUACAAGUGAGGUGUGAAAGCCCUGGGCUCAACCCAGGAAGUGCACUCGAUACUGCCUAGCUAGAGUCCCGGAGAGGUUGGUGGAACUCUCGGUGUAGAGGUGAAAUUCGUAGAUAUCGAGAAGAACACCGGUGGCGAAGGCGGCCAACUGGACGGUGACUGACACUGAGACGCGAAAGCGUGGGGAGCAAACAGG